UACGUAGGGUGCAAGCGUUGUCCGGAAUUAUUGGGCGUAAAGAGCUCGUAGGCGGUCUGUUGCGUCGGCUGUGAAAACCCGGGGCUCAACUCCGGGCCUGCAGCCGAUACGGGCAGACUAGAGUUCGGCAGGGGAGACUGGAAUUCCUGGUGUAGCGGUGAAAUGCGCAGAUAUCAGGAGGAACACCUGCGGCGAAGGCGGGUUGCUGGGCUGACACUGACGCUGAUGCGCGAAAGCGUGGGGAGCAAAACGG
This 253-nucleotide ribosomal RNA is filed under the name uncultured bacterium. RNAcentral describes it as "partial 16S ribosomal RNA". It matches the Rfam family "Bacterial small subunit ribosomal RNA", at positions 524 to 776 of the family's 1533-position model. The record is from RNAcentral.